AGUGAACGCUGGCGGUAGGCCUAACACAUGCAAGUCGAACGGCAGCACAGUAAGAGCUUGCUCUUACGGGUGGCGAGUGGCGGACGGGUGAGGAAUACAUCGGAAUCUACUUUUUCGUGGGGGAUAACGUAGGGAAACUUACGCUAAUACCGCAUACGACCUACGGGUGAAAGCAGGGGAUCUUCGGACCUUGCGCGAUUGAAUGAGCCGAUGUCGGAUUAGCUAGUUGGCGGGGUAAAGGCCCACCAAGGCGACGAUCCGUAGCUGGUCUGAGAGGAUGAUCAGCCACACUGGAACUGAGACACGGUCCAUACUCCUCGGGGAUGCAGCAGUGGGGAAUAUUGGACAAUGUGCGGAAGCCUUAUCCAGUCAUACCGCGUGAGUGAAGAAGGCCUUCGGGUUGUAAAGCCCUUUUGUUGGGAAAGAAGAGCAGCAGGUUAAUACCCCGCUGUUCUGACGGUACCCAAAGAAUAAGCACCGGCUAACUACGUG
RNAcentral lists this ribosomal RNA (492 nucleotides) under uncultured bacterium. RNAcentral's name for it is "partial 16S ribosomal RNA". It matches the Rfam family "Bacterial small subunit ribosomal RNA", at positions 29 to 507 of the family's 1533-position model. The record is from RNAcentral.